Molecule: long non-coding RNA, 6367 nt
Organism: Orcinus orca (killer whale)
Lineage: Eukaryota; Metazoa; Chordata; Mammalia; Artiodactyla; Delphinidae
Exons: 9
Source: RefSeq, a predicted model, not a curated record
GUUGGCCUCUGGGUCCUGCAGCCGCGGCUGGACCGUGCGUCCUGCUCCUUAAAUGCCUCCAGCUGAAGGCUGUGUUUCAUCAUCAGGAGAUAAAAAAGUCAUCACUCAUCGUGUAAAGGAAGGCACCAAGGAUAGAAGGAUUGCCUCACAAGGAGCCUUUGGCCAUUUGCGGGGAGUGCGGGCGGGGGUGGGGGAAGGGCUUGGGAGGCUGGUGCCUGACCAGGCUGGAUGGAGGGGAGAGAAAAAAAGGAGCAGCAGAGGUCAAGGCAAUUUAGAAAAAAGUAUGCACAUGUGACAGUGGUUCUCAAACAGCAAGCUGUUUAAAAUGCAGCUUUGUAGCCCUCAUGCUCAGAAAUUCCAGAUUUAACAAGUCUAGAAUUGAGGCUCUGAAACCUGUAUUUAAAAAAAAUUUUCCCAGGUGAUGGCCAUGAAGGUAUUCUGUGAACUGUACACUAGGCUUUGAGAAGCUCUGCCCUGGGAUAGCACCCAGGGCUUCUGAUAGGGUACAGGCAGGCAGAGCUGGCAGAGGCCACCCAGCCCCAGCAUGAGGGGCCCGAAGCCUCGGGAGGAACGGCGCUCCCCCCCCCCGCCCCGGUUCUGCAAGAAUCGAGUCAUUGCCCCUGCAGUCGCUGACCUACAGGACACCCUGAAAGGACUUCAGGAAGGUGAUCAGGAUGCGGCACACUGUGCUCUGGGGAGACAGGCAAGUGAGCCCUUAGACAGUUACCAAUCUUACAAUGCUUUAGAAAGUUCUUAUGAAUCUGGAUUCUUACAUCUUCUCAUACUUAGAAAAGCACUAAAGUCAUGAACGGAGAAACCCGUUGCUUGUGACCAGGAGCAACCUUCUACCAAACUGUGUGCUUGAGUGCAGUCGACAGUUUUGCUGACCGUGAAGGAGCACAGAGCUAACUUCUCUCCUCUGUCUGAACACUAUGAGGAUUCAGAACCUUGGUAGCAGCAAGGGCCUUUUAUUCCCAUCCACCUCCUCAGCGAGUCCAGACGAAUUUGGGGGACACGGGUUUGAGCCCUGGUCCGGGAAGAUCCCACAUGCCGCAGAGCAACUAAGCCCGUCUGCCACAACUACUGAGCCUGUGUGUCACAACUACUGAAGCCCACAUGCCUAGAGCCCGUUCUCCGCAACAAGAGAAGCCACCGCAAUGAGAAGCCUGCGCACCACAACGAAGAGUAGCCCCCGCUCGCCGCAACGAGAGAAAGCCGGUGCACAGCAACGAAGACCCAACGCAGCCAAAAGUUGACCUUGAGGUUGCUUCUGAGCUGGAUUCACCUGGCAAGAAGGUCGGGGGUCGAGAGAAUCACAUUGAAUUUGGCCCUGGGCCUGGGCCUGCCCCCCAGAAAGGACGAAACGGACAGGACCUGCCUGGAGCCAGGCCGAGUGCCUAGUGUCCAGAGGGAACAGAGAGCAGCUGGGGAGCUGACUCUGACUUAGGAACGCUGCCUGUGGGCUUUGUUUCCAGCCCUCUCAGAGUCACAGGGAAGCUGGCACCAGAGGGAGAGCCUUGGCCUCUUGUUUGUCUCCAGCCCGAGCCAGCGGUGUGGAAAGAGGUCGGAGGGCCCGGCUCGGGGGUGGGGGGGUGGGGGGGGGGAGGCAGCAGGCCAGCCGCCCCAGGCUUCUCCUCCGUCCUGGCCCACGUGCGCCCUCGUGCACACGUGCCUCUUGGUGGGGAGGGGAGGGGUUACCAUGGGACAGGCCGGGCAGAUCACGUUCAAGGCCCUGCCACUGCUGUCGUGGGGAGAAUUAUGGCCGUCGUGACGGGGAGGAGGUGGUAUGGGGAGACUGCAGGAUCGGGGCACAGGCUUCUGCUGAUGUCAGAGCCUGCCGCUGACUCUGGGAUGGGUGUGGGGUGCUGGUGACCUCCUCCUGGGCCAAGGUUCUCUUCCUCAGCCUUUGCAGGCUGAGCGCCUUGUUAACUCUCACGGUCCCUCUGAGCAGGAAGGUAGGCAGAGAGGUCUGGGAAUUCCCUCUGGUUCUGGAAGUCCUCUGUGUCUGGCUUUGCUUUUGGAUGAGGGCAGAGCCCCCAAGGGUGGAGACCAGAGGGCACCGCAGGCCAGGAGGGAAGAGAUGCGGCCCAGGCCGUGCAGAGUGCUGGACAGGAAGGCCCAGGGCCGGGGAGGGAGGACCCCACUCAUUCACUCAACAAUCCUUUGAUGAGUGUCCACUGUGUAGCUCUACAGUUACAGGGGAAAACGAACCAUGUGACCCCCUAUGGGGAGCUGUAGGGCAGAUGAGGAGGUUCCGAAGUACAGAGGAGGGAGCACCUGACGACACAGGAGGAGGAAGCGGGUGCUUCUGGGGGGAAGUCAGAUUAGGAAGGAGUCAGCCAGGUGGGAGAGGGGCUGGGGGCCAGGCGCUCCAGGUAGAGCAUGGAGUGGGUGGUGGGGGGUGGUGGUGGAAAUCUGAGGGGUGCUCAGCUGUGGAAUGUCCGUAGGGCGCGGAGGGAAGUCAAGGCUGGAGAGAGAGGCAGAGGUCAGAGCCAGCUGGGUGGGCAUGGGAAGAUUCCUCCGCAGGUUCCCGGGAAGCAGAGGCCGGGAGUUGAGGAGGGGACCUGGAGCUGGUGUGGCCCGGCCCCGAGGAGAACUUCCUCAUCCAGGGAUCGAACCCACGUCCCCUGCACUGGAAGCACGGAGUCUUAACCACUGGACCGCCAGGGAAGCCCUGUUAUCAUAUUUGUACAGAGGAGACUAAGUGUAAGCUCAGUGAGGGGAGGGAAGGCAUCCCAUGAGUCUGGGGGGACUCAGCAGAUGAUAACGGCUGGCGUGGAGCGCUCCUGAGCCAGGGCUGGCUCUAAGCUCUUCACACGUGUUCACUCACUCCUUACCACCACCCAAAGAGCUGGUGCUAUUAGAUCCCCAUUUUACAGACAAGGAGCUGAGAGGUGCCGCUGGACCAAGUUCGGAGAGCUCUGAAGUGAAGAAACCGGGACGCACAGCCUGUGCUCUUCACCUUUUUUUUUUUUUUAUUGAAGUACAGUUGAUUUACAGUGUUGUGUUAGUUGCUGCUGUACAGCAAAGUGACUCAGUUAUACAUACAUAUAUAUAUAUAUAUAUCCUUUUUCAUAUUCUUUUCCAUUAUGUUUAUCACAGGAUAUUGAGUAUAGUUCCCUGUGCUCUACAGUAGGACCUUGUUGUUUAUCCAUUCUCUGUAUAAUAGUUUGCAUCUGCUAAUCCCAAACUCCCACUCCAUCCCUCUCCCACCCGCCUCCCCCUUGGCAACCACAAGUCUGUCCUCUAUGUCUGUGAGUUUGUUUCUGUUGCGUAGAUAAGUUCAUUUGUGUCAUAUUCUAGAUUCCACAUAUAAGUGAUAUAUGGUAUUUAUCUUUGUCUGGCUUACUUCACUUAGUAUGAUAAUCUUUAGGUCCAUCCAUGUAGCUGCAGAUGGCAUUAUUUCAUUCUUUUUUACGCCUGUGUGCUCUUCACGUUUUAAAAUCUCCUGUUUCUCUCUGAAAAGCAGGGCCCAUAUUUGCCUCUCAUGCCUGACAAAUCUCAGGGUGAUGCUCAGCAUGCCCAGCUAUCCCCUUACACUGGUUCCCUUGUCCUCGUCUGCCUGUUUCCAGCAGGAGCCCUGGCAGAGCUGGAGGAGUAGACAGCUAGGGGAGUGUGAACCAGGGUGGACAGCCCCAGAGCUUUGGGACAGACGUUGGCGCACCAAUCAUCUCCAGACUCUUCAUGCCUGGGGGGCUGUGGUCUCCAGUGAGGGCAGUAAGAGAACAUCUCCACGUUCAGUGUAAGGAUCUCUGCUAAUCACUCCACUCCGGGAUGCUCUGUGAGUCCUGCCGUCCUCAUCCUUUGAGGCAUUACUGGUCUCUGAAGCAUCUUAUCUGACCAGCCUGAAUUCACUGCAUUCCCCAUCCAUCCAUCUGUCCAUCAACCCAUCCUUCAACCCCAAAAAUAUGUACUGAGACUUGAUAUAUGCCCGGUAUCAUCCUAGAUGUGGGACUACAGGAGUGAACAUGACAAAAAUUCUGUCCUUAAGGGUUUACAUUCUAGUAGGGGAGUGGAGCAGACAGUAAAGAAGUGAAACUUAUGUUGGAUUGCGAUACUUGCUCUGGUGAAAAGCAAAGCUGCCGAGGAUAUAGGUGGGGGGAGGGGGGAGGUGUGCUAUUUAAAACAGGUCGUGAGGGAAGGAUUCUUGCAGUUAUCUGGGACAAGUAUGUCCUAAGCAGAGAGAACAGGAAAUUCCGGCCUCGUCCAGAGCCUGCUGCAUCUGCUCUGCCUGCUGGCCUGCACCGUCUGCCGUCUGCACCUCGCUCUGCCUGACCUGCCACCCAUACUCCUGUGAGCAAAACUGAGGCCACUCUCCAGCCAUCACAUCUGUGUCAUACCCCUGGGGCUCAUGCUGAUGUGGCAUCCCUGAGAAGCCCUGCACAAUGGCAGCGUGAGGGCAUCUGGUUCUGCUAAGUAUCCAGGGCCUGUUGGGAGUUUAUCCGAGCAGGGUGGGAGAGCAGAUACUGUGGCUUAAAUUCAGCCGACAACAUGUGACGUAAGGUCAAGGGCCAAGGAAAGGGGAAAAGAACAGCUGGGAGAGAGAGAGGCUGCUGUACCCAGUUAUAUCAGAAUAAAGAUCGCCAGGAAAGGGGCUGCAGUAGAUCUCCCUUGUUUGUUUGUUUUCCUUGAAAGUGGUCUCAUGGGAACCUCUACUGGAAGAAACUAUUAAAGACAAAACAAAGGUAUAGAACUGAGAUUGAUUCUGAAGCCUGAUUUACAGUAGAGGAGUACCCGCAGUGGUCCAGGAAAAAAGCACGAUUUCAGUACCUGCAAAAAGCCUGGACUGGGCAAAGCUGAGGGCAGGCUCUGAGCAGCAGGGAGACAGAACAGGAGGGAAGCAGGGAGUCUCAUUCCAUGCUUCAGCUCUCUUUGCUGCUGCCUGUGUGACAAAGGUCUAAAGGCAAUAUGUUAUUACGCGUAACAACUGAAGCCCAGCUAUGGCUUGGAAAUUCCUGAACUACUGUGGAAAUUCUCUCCUUUGAAUCAUGACUCUUUUGAUUGCAUUUGGACUUCUGUUUGAAGGAGGUUGAAAAGACGAGUACAGUGAAUCCGAAUCUCUUGAAGGUGCCGGAUAUUCUGAAACAGUGGUGCUCAGAAAAAAGCAGAAUGCUUACAGAAUGCUGUAAUUCUGCUGACUCUCAAAGAACAUCUUCUUGUAGUGAAAGUUAGCCACCUCUUCCACAAGUCUCCCCUUUGUGGGGAAGUUAAUAACAAAUUCCGGCUAUUCAACAGUAAGGUUAGAGAUGAAACACACUAGAUAAAUCAUUAAGUGCGACGGUUCUUCACAAAUUAGCUACCUUGAAACCAACCCAAUGAUGAAUAGCUCAGAAGUCUGCAUUUGGCGCAGUUUUAAAAACACCUGAGCUCAUAAAAUGUGGUAUGUUUAAUACUAUAAAAUGACUCAAACAUAGGAAUUGGCUAUAAAUAUCUUCCCUGCAAAGAAUGUCUUUGCUCAACAGACUAUAAAAUAAGUAUCUGGAAUAGUUUUACAGUUAAAACUGAGAAUCAGGGAGGAAAAGUGACUUGCUUGAGCCCAAGGUGCUAGAGAGAACAGAGUCCAGGUUUCGGAAAGUCCAGCCUCUUAGCUUCCUGUGUGAUCAACAUCAUUCCAGAAAAGGGGCAUCACUUGGCUUGGCUGAGAAUAACCUAGAUAUAUCAGUCACUGCAACACGAUUUUAUCUGUGCUUUUUGAUCACAGCAUAGGAGGCUCAAGACUCAAUCCAAAGGACUAGAAAACCUAACGAAAUUAACAAUACUUAGAGAAGUCGUUAUGUGGAUCUCAAGGGAACGCAGCUGGGAUAGCUGUUGGUGAAGCAAACAGCUGCUUCUCAAACAAACACCAGCUUCUCUUAUAAUCAGUAAGUGCAAAACUUCACGGAGAGAGCCCUCCUCAAGCCUGAAAACUUGUUUUUCUUAUCAGAAAAAAACCAUGACAAGGGGAGAAAGGAGGACCCACAGGAUAUCUGGUAUGAAAAUAUUCCUUCAUAAGUAACUAGUAGGUUGGAAUUGUGACAGAAGGGAGAUCCCAGCAUGUGUGUGUAUGGACUGCUUAUACCUUUGAGAGCAGAAAUUUAAUGACUAUUCACUGAAGGCAACUCAAACUUGGGAAAUAAUAACAUUGCAAUUUUGAGAUUCAUAUUUUAUUUACAAGCAAAUGAAGAAUAUUCCCUGUAACCAUUAAUUUGGGGGGAGAAGAGCAAUAUAAAGAAGUAGUUGCUGGCUCCACAGUGACGUGUGAAAGGAGUCCAUGCCACUGUUUCUUUAAAUGAUUUUGUUAUUAAAAAAACCGAAACAAAACGCACAGUUUCUUCAUGUUGCAUAUGUGAAAGAAUUCCAAAUAAAAAUGACUUUUCAAAGUUCUGCA